UGGCUCAGAACGAACGCUGGCGGCAGGCUUAACACAUGCAAGUCGAACGCGUGUAGCAAUACACGAGUGGCGCACGGGUGAGUAACGCGUGGAUAUCUGCCUUUUGGUUCGGAAUAACCCCGGGAAACUGGGGCUAAUACCGGAUGGUUCCUACGGGAUAAAGAUUUAUCGCCAAAAGAUGAGUCCGCGUCCGAUUAGCUAGUUGGUGGGGUAAAGGCCUACCAAGGCGACGAGCGGUAGCUGGUCUGAGAGGACGAUCAGCCACACUGGGACUGAGACACGGCCCAGACGAAUACGGGAGGCAGCAUGUGG
Molecule: ribosomal RNA, 312 nt
Filed under: uncultured bacterium
Lineage: Bacteria
Description: bacterial SSU rRNA
Rfam family: Bacterial small subunit ribosomal RNA
Source: RNAcentral